GCACUAUAAAUAUGUCAUCUAAAAUAUAAACCAAACAUUGCCCCCAUCACCAACACACACACACAUACACCAGGCAGAAAAGUGAACAUUAAAAAAAAAUCUGCAGAAUUGAAAAUUUAUGGAAAGACAAUGAAUGUUUAAGGUUUAGAUGACAAAUGCGUACCAAAAGGGUCAAAGAAGACUGGUUUUAUUUUUUUGUAGUUUCUAUUAUUUAUCCAAUGUUAUGCUUAAAAUUCUUAACAAACAUAAGCAUGGGCCAGAGAAAAACAAUUAAAUCCUGCUAGAAAAGUACUUCUCAUCUUCAUAUUAAUUAAGAUAUAAAAAAUGAUGAAAUUCAGAGACAA
Molecule: unclassified non-coding RNA, 344 nt
Filed under: Hevea brasiliensis (rubber tree)
Lineage: Eukaryota; Viridiplantae; Streptophyta; Magnoliopsida; Malpighiales; Euphorbiaceae
Source: RNAcentral